RNAcentral lists this long non-coding RNA (590 nucleotides) under Salmo salar (Atlantic salmon). Its description in RNAcentral is "lncRNA (ENSSSAG00000096907.1)". Lineage: Eukaryota; Metazoa; Chordata; Actinopteri; Salmoniformes; Salmonidae. The record is from RNAcentral.
ACCUAAAGCAAUCUAAGUAGAAACAUUAGAUUUUUUGACCCGUGUCUGGAUAUAAUGUACCUAAUCUGUCGUGGACAGACGCACAACAUAGGAUGGUAUUGUAGCGUCUGUCAAGACUGCGAUGCGAAGUCUAACGAGGAACGCCGAUUUGUUUCAUCACUGAUCAUUUGGACAAAUCCUGAUUUCCCAGGUAUUCACAUCUUUCACAUUUCAGAAGGGGAGAUGUGGCCCAGAGACCUGACUGAAACAUCUGUUUACGGGAUGGAGACUUGACUAAUCUCGUUACUACCUUUUUUCAUACAUCUCUUCCCAGAACCUUAUCGUGCAUCUGAUGCAAUUACGUAGUAUUUUAGUUUCGGGUGUCUGAGAUUAGUAUAUGCAUCUGUAGUAGAUCCUCUAUGUGAGACCAGGUAGUUGGAGAUCGGCUCCAAUGAGCAGCUAAGAAUGUAAGGUGAGGCAGACUGCUGUGUCCUGUAAUAGACUGUAAGGUGAGGCAGACUGCUGUGUCCUGUAAUAGACUGUAAGGUGAGGCAGACUGCUGUGUCCUGUAAUAGACUGUAAGGUGAGGCAGACUGCUGUGUCCUGUAAUA